AUCAUGGCUCAGGAUGAACGCUAGCGGCAGGCCUAACACAUGCAAGUCGAGGGGUAGAGUUCUUCGGGACUUGAGACCGGCGCACGGGUGCGUAACGCGUAUGCAAUCUACCUUAUACAGGGGAAUAGCCCAGAGAAAUUUGGAUUAAUGCCCCAUAGUGUUAUCGAAUCGCAUGGUUUGAUAACUAAAGUUCCAACGGUAUAAGAUGAGCAUGCGUCCCAUUAGUUAGUUGGUAAGGUAACGGCUUACCAAGACAAUGAUGGGUAGGGGUCCUGAGAGGGAGAUCCCCCACACUGGUACUGAGACACGGACCAGACUCCUACGGGAGGCAGCAGUGAGGAAUAUUGGACAAUGGGCGCAAGCCUGAUCCAGCCAUGCCGCGUGCAGGAUGACGGUCCUAUGGAUUGUAAACUGCUUUUGUACAGGAAGAAACACUGGUUCGUGAACCAGCUUGACGGUACUGUAAGAAUAAGCAUCGGCUAACUCCGUG
RNAcentral lists this ribosomal RNA (490 nucleotides) under uncultured bacterium. RNAcentral describes it as "bacterial SSU rRNA". It matches the Rfam family "Bacterial small subunit ribosomal RNA", at positions 16 to 507 of the family's 1533-position model. The record is from RNAcentral.